Molecule: long non-coding RNA, 347 nt
Filed under: Ursus maritimus (polar bear)
Lineage: Eukaryota; Metazoa; Chordata; Mammalia; Carnivora; Ursidae
Description: lncRNA (ENSUMAG00000016764.1)
Source: RNAcentral
AACUAUACAAUGGAAAUAACAAUAGCAUCUAUAUCUCCUAGGAGUGUUUGGAAGAUGAGAUAAUUUCAAGCCAGAAGAGUACUUAGCACAGUGCCUGGCACAUAGAAUAUCCUUCCUAGUAGAUUGGAUAUAUCUUCAAAACUCUGCUCAAGAAUUACUUUGACUGUGAAGCUAGCCAUGGAUGAGACUACUUGGCUACAUGUGUCUAAUUUUAUUUAGAAGUCCCUUCCACAGAGUCCUUUGGAUCUGACCACCCCUGAGGACACAGAGUCAUUUAUACAAUGGUUAAUGAAGAAAACUGCAGCUUGUUUUUUUCCAUGGCUGAAGAGGCAGGAAAUGGAGCAGCA